ACACUUUGAAUCACAACUUCCUCCUAACAAGGCUGUUAGGGCCCUGGGUGUGGUGGGAUCAUCAGCUGGGAGUGGGGUGUCUGAGUAUGGUUGGCCAUCUGCUCAUCUGGGGUCCAGAGCUCUCACAGUCCAGCUGAAGUUGCAUGUGUGGACCUUGUGCCUCCUGGGACCUCCUGGCCCAGUCAGGCUCAGUGUCUGUUGCUUUCCAGAACCCUGGCUACUACGACAUCCAGGCCAAGGACCUGGGCAUCUGGCACGUGCCCAAUAAGUCCCCCAUGCAGCACUGGAGAAACAGGUCCCUGCUGAGGUACCGCACGGACACUGGCUUCCUCCAGACACUGGGACAUAAUCUGUUUGGCAUCUACCAGAAAUAUCCAGUGAAAUAUGGAGAAGGAAAGUGUUGGACUGACAACGGCCCGGCGAUCCCUGUGGUCUAUGAUUUUGGCAACGCCCAGAAAACAGCAUCUUAUUACUCACCCUAUGGCCAGGGGGAAUUCACUGCGGGAUUUGUUCAGUUCAGGGUAUUUAAUAACGAGAGAGCAGCCAACGCCUUGUGUGCUGGAAUGAGGGUCACCGGAUGUAACACUGAGCA
This 592-nucleotide small RNA is filed under the name Pan troglodytes (chimpanzee). RNAcentral's name for it is "processed transcript". Lineage: Eukaryota; Metazoa; Chordata; Mammalia; Primates; Hominidae. The record is from RNAcentral.